UGGCGGGAGGUCUCAGGCAGUGGAAUCGUGCUGGCCUCACAUGCCCACCGCCCACGCGUUCCUUCCUCGUCCUUUCCGAGCCCGCUGUGCAGACUGCCAGGUGAGGACAGUGUUGAUCGCGAACCCGAAGGGAAACGUCACACUGCGGAGCAGUCUGCACGCGUCCCGUGCGCGUGGCUUUGCGUCCCGUGCGCGUGGCUUUCUACGUGGCUAAUGCUGCUGCCAUCCCUUUCAUACCAAAGAAUGCUCUCUAAAACAUAAUGUUUCACAUUAAGCAAAUGUGUCAUCUUCAAGACGAGUGUUCUACUAGUUUUGCUGGUUGUCCUAACAUCGCGAGACGUCAAAUGGCAAGGCAGGUUACUAUCGGGAAGAAGAAGCAAGUGCAGCAGGAGAGGAGGAAGGGCUCUCAUCUGAAGGGAAACAUCUGAACGUCAAACGACUGAGAAAUUCAGGCCAGAUCCAAUGAAUCAAGACUGAGACGAACUCCUAAUCGCGUCAUCUGUUGGUGUUCCUUUCGGGUUGGCCAGGUUUAUGUAAAAUCAGAGAGCAGUA
Cervus elaphus (red deer) is the source of this 552-nucleotide long non-coding RNA. RefSeq lists it as uncharacterized. The transcript has 2 exons. The record is from RefSeq and is a predicted model, not a curated record. Lineage: Eukaryota; Metazoa; Chordata; Mammalia; Artiodactyla; Cervidae.